Molecule: ribosomal RNA, 254 nt
Filed under: uncultured bacterium
Lineage: Bacteria
Description: partial 16S ribosomal RNA
Rfam family: Bacterial small subunit ribosomal RNA
Source: RNAcentral
UACGUAGGGGGCGAGCGUUGUCCGGAUUUAUUGGGCGUAAAGAGCUCGUAGGCGGUCCGAUAAGUCGGAUGUGAAAUCUCCACGCUCAACGUGGAGAGGCCAUUCGAUACUGUCGUGACUCGAGUCCGGUAGGGGAGUGUGGAAUUCCCGGUGUAGCGGUGAAAUGCGCAGAGAUCGGGAGGAACACCCGUGGCUAAGGCGGCUCUCUAGUACGGUACUGACGCUGAGACGCGAAAGCGUGGGGAGCGAACAGG